CUUUUCUAUAGGGAGUCGGGACCUGCUCGGUGAAUUGUUUUAACAGCCGCGGUACUCUGACCGUGCAAAGGUAGCAUAAUCAUUUGCCUUAUAAUUGAAGGCUAGUAUGAAUGGUUUGACGAGAAUUAAGCUGUCUCUUUUUAAAUAGAUAUAAUUUUAUAUAUAGGUGAAGAAGCCUAUAUUUUAUUGAAAGACAAGAAGACCCUAUCGAGCUUUAAAGAAUUUAAUGGACUUAUCAUAUAUUUAUUAAAAAAGUAAGGCCAUUGAAAAUUUUGGUUGGGGCGACUGAGGAACAAAGAAAGCUUCCUUUUAUUUUAGAAAUCUACUAGUAUUGAUCCAAUAAAUUUGAUUAAAGGAAUUAGUUACCGUAGGGAUAACAGCAUAAUCUUCUUUGAGAGUUCCCAUCGAAAAGGAGGUUUGUGACCUCGAUGUUGGACCAGAAUACCCAGAAGAUGCAGCCGUCUUCAAUGGUUGGUCUGUUCGACCAUUAAAAUUCUACGUGAUCUGAGUUCAGACCGGA
This 520-nucleotide ribosomal RNA is filed under the name Purpura rudolphi. Its description in RNAcentral is "partial 16S ribosomal RNA". It matches the Rfam family "Bacterial large subunit ribosomal RNA", at positions 1838 to 2620 of the family's 2925-position model. Lineage: Eukaryota; Metazoa; Mollusca; Gastropoda; Neogastropoda; Muricidae. The record is from RNAcentral.